Molecule: non-coding RNA, 70 nt
Organism: Podarcis lilfordi (Lilford's wall lizard)
Lineage: Eukaryota; Metazoa; Chordata; Lepidosauria; Squamata; Lacertidae
Source: the annotation of a GenBank genome assembly
GGAUAGCUCAGCUGGUUAGAGUGUGCUGCUGAUAACCCCAAGGUUGCAGGUUCGAUCCCCGUAUGAGACA